RNAcentral lists this long non-coding RNA (409 nucleotides) under Elaeis guineensis (African oil palm). RNAcentral describes it as "long non-coding RNA (EGUI_LNC063761)". The record is from RNAcentral. Lineage: Eukaryota; Viridiplantae; Streptophyta; Magnoliopsida; Arecales; Arecaceae.
CGGGCAUUCUGAUCUGAAGUGGCCCAGCUUCUUGCAUUCAUAGCAGAUGAAGGGCUGUUCCUUUUCUUUUUCUUUACUCGACUCCUCCUUAGUUGGUGGUCUUCUCUUGGUCCCUUAUCCUUUUCUUCUCAUGAAGCAUCUAAAUUUUUUGGUAAUCAGGGUCAAGUCCUUAUCUUCCUCGUGAUUGUCUGAUUUUUCUAUGUCUUCUUCUUCCUGAGCUAUCAACUUGAGAGCGAUGGCCCUCUUUCUUCUAGUUUCCUCCUCAGUGUAUUGCUUCAUGGUCAGUUUAUGAGUCAUGAGGGAUCCAAGUAGCUCCUCCAAUGGUAAAGUAUUUAAAUCUUUGGCCUCUUGGAUUACAGUGACUUUUAUCUCCCACGAUCUUGGUAAGAACCUGAGCACUUCUCUCACA